Molecule: ribosomal RNA, 507 nt
Filed under: uncultured Sphingobacteriales bacterium
Lineage: Bacteria; Pseudomonadati; Bacteroidota; Sphingobacteriia; Sphingobacteriales
Description: bacterial SSU rRNA
Rfam family: Bacterial small subunit ribosomal RNA
Source: RNAcentral
UGCGCCUUGCCAGCCCGCUCAGAAACUCAAAGGAAUUGACGGGGGCCCGCACAAGCGGUGGAGCAUGUGGUUUAAUUCGAUGGUACGCGAGGAACCUUACCAGGGCUUGACAUACGUUGGAAUGGGCGGGAGACCGUCCAGCCUUUCGGGGCCGGCGUACAGGUGCUGCAUGGUUGUCGUCAGCUCGUGCCGUGAGGUGUCGGGUUAAGUCCCAUAACGAGCGCAACCCCUAUCAUUAGUUGCCAUCAGGUCAAGCUGGGGACUCUAAUGAAACUGCCUACGCAAGUAGUGAGGAAGGUGGGGAUGACGUCAAAUCAGCACGGCCCUUACGUCCAGGGCUACACACGUGCUACAAUGGCCGGUACAAAGGGCAGCUACCUGGUGACAGGAUGCUAAUCUCAAAAGCCGGUCUCAGUUCGGAUCGGAGUCUGCAACCCGACUCCGUGAAGUUGGAUUCGCUAGUAAUCGCGCAUCAGCCAUGGCGCGGUGAAUACGUUCCCGGGCCUU